GCGCCAGUAGCUCAGGUGGAUAGAGCAGCGGUCUUCUAAACCGCGGGUCGGGGGUUCGAAUCCCUCCUGGCGUGCCA
This 77-nucleotide transfer RNA is filed under the name Verrucomicrobiota bacterium. RNAcentral describes it as "Verrucomicrobia bacterium tRNA-Arg". It matches the Rfam family "tRNA". From Rfam's summary of the family: Transfer RNA (tRNA) molecules are approximately 80 nucleotides in length. Their secondary structure includes four short double-helical elements and three loops (D, anti-codon, and T loops). Further hydrogen bonds mediate the characteristic L-shaped molecular structure. tRNAs have two regions of fundamental functional importance: the anti-codon, which is responsible for specific mRNA codon recognition, and the 3' end, to which the tRNAs corresponding amino acid is attached (by aminoacyl-tRNA synthetases). tRNAs cope with the degeneracy of the genetic code in two manners: having more than one tRNA (with a specific anti-codon) for a particular amino acid; and 'wobble' base-pairing, i.e. permitting non-standard base-pairing at the 3rd anti-codon position. The record is from RNAcentral. Lineage: Bacteria; Pseudomonadati; Verrucomicrobiota.